UGACCUCAAAUCAGGCAAGAAUACCCGCUGAACUUGA
Molecule: ribosomal RNA, 37 nt
Filed under: uncultured Glomus
Lineage: Eukaryota; Fungi; Glomeromycota; Glomeromycetes; Glomerales; Glomeraceae
Description: partial 28S ribosomal RNA
Source: RNAcentral